UGCCUACGGGGGGCAGCAGUAGGGAAUUUUCGUCAAUGGGCGCAAGCCUGAACGAGCGAUGCCGCGUGAGUGAAGAAGGCCUUCGGGUCGUAAAGCUCUGUUGCGGGGGAAAAAAGGCAGCAUCAGGAAAUGGGUGCUGACUGAUGGUGCCCCGCCAGAAAGGGACGGCUAACUACGUGCCAGCAGCCGCGGUAAUACGUAGGUCCCGAGCGUUAUCCGGAUUUAUUGGGCGUAAAGCGAGCGCAGGCGGUUGGAUAAGUCUGAAGUUAAAGGCUGUGG
This 279-nucleotide ribosomal RNA is filed under the name uncultured bacterium. RNAcentral describes it as "partial 16S ribosomal RNA". It matches the Rfam family "Bacterial small subunit ribosomal RNA", at positions 335 to 607 of the family's 1533-position model. The record is from RNAcentral.